GUUGCCAGCAGCGCUGGAGCUGCCCGAGCCGCAGCGGAGCCGCUGUUCUCAGCUGCAGCCAGGAUCUGCCCCCGGCCCCGCUGGGAUCCAGACAGGCUGCAGAAUGUUUUGCUCCAGCUCAUCCCAGCCUGGCGUGGGACAGGGAAGAGAAAUGGCUGCAGUGGAGUCAGUCCAGGGGCUGGUGACCUUCAAGGAGAUGGCUAUGUAUUUCACCAGGGAAGAGUGGGCUCUGCUGGACCCCACUCAGAGAGCCCUCUACUGGGAUGUCAUGCAGGAGAACUAUGAGACUGUGACCUCGCUGGGUAAGGGUUCCUGUCCCUUCUGUUCUUGGAAGGGGAAAUGAAGAGUGAAGGUUCAUGCCACCCCCACAAUGCCAUCUGUACCCUGUCCUGUUUCAGCAUCACCCCAAUAGGCCAGUAACAUACAUACUACCAGAGACCCUCCUCUGCUGCAGAACACUUUGGG
Gopherus flavomarginatus (Mexican gopher tortoise) is the source of this 465-nucleotide long non-coding RNA. RefSeq lists it as uncharacterized. The transcript has 4 exons. NCBI's taxonomy places the organism in Eukaryota, Metazoa, Chordata, Testudines, Testudinidae. The record is from RefSeq and is a predicted model, not a curated record.